UGGUAAGCCGAUUUGCGUCGAUGCUUAUUUGAUGCACCAAUUAUUGUGAGCAAAUGGAUUUCAUUCAAAUGAUGGCUAUUUAAUAGCAGGGUUUGUGCGACGGUGGCUAAAUUUAAUAUCAGGUUUCGUGCGACGGAAGGUGUUCUUGGUUUGUUUCCUUUCAGUUGUUAUGUUGACCUGCUUUGGUUCUGAAGCGAUCGCUUCCGUCGAAUCGGUUCACGGUCAGGCGCCCCAGCCGAAAGCGAGAGCUGAGCCGCGUAUUCACUUUCAUCUUCAACAUCGCUGCGUGGUGCGUGAGGAAAACCGGGGCAGCCGACCGGCCGAGACGGACCGAUCAAUUUCUUUCGUGAUUAAAAUUCAUGGUAACAUCGUCUGACAUGUCUCGUGAUGCUUUGAGAUGCCAUUCCGGCAACAUUAUUCUUAAAGGUCAUUGAAGAAUAUAAAGCCGUGAGGCAUCAUAAUAUUUGCUGACUCAGAUAAGUUAGUUAGAUUUGCCAGCCGCUCGCGUGCUCUGGGAUGCCGGGUGUAGAGAGGUUAAUUUGGAGUGUGCGCGCACCAGGGAUGGCUUUCCCCCCUCUCUAUCGACCGGAUUUGCGUACGGGCAGAAUCCCCCGAGGGCCUACGCACUACACGCAUCUGCCUGGCCCGCAGAUGGCCUGUAGAAUGGCAUCGCCAGUGACGUUGAACCGGUGUAGCUCUGAUUGGGAAAGGUAGAGGCUACAGGCAAUUAUCUGCGUCAGAUCCUUCUCUUCUCAUGUUCUAGAUUCAUGGGAAACCCAACACAGGGGACCUCCGGCACGAAGGCGGAGGACGGAGCAGGCACCACUCCGGGGAACCCUGCCGCCGUCGGAGGAGAGGAGGAGUAUUAUGAUGUGGUCAGCCAGUACGGCACGGCGGGCAACCAACGACCUCGUCUGGAGGUACUCGGCGCCAAUACAGGACGUUAAGCCCCAAAGGUUGGAGCUAUUGUGCCUCUAUAAAAAAGGGAGGAAUGUGAGAAAAUCACGGUCGCCGUGAGGUGCGACCCGCGCUGCCGAGGUGCAUGAUCGAGCUGAACGCGGCCUGUGUCGCCGCCAUGGUGGCACAAGGCUCGUAACACCACGCAGCGGCAGCGAGGACCAACUCCAGCUGGCCUUGGCCGAGGCCGGCGCCGUGAUGAAACCUCCCCACCCGCACGCACCGGCGAGGCGGCAAGGUGUGGAAAUCUACGCACAAGCAGUGCCCGACCCUCGGGACAGAGCGGUGGCGAAACCGGGUCAGCGUGGGACGACACAGCCCACGUCGCACCUACAGCUGUGCCGCGCGGCGUGCGCGCUCUCUUCCACAUGAACAUUAUGCAGUUGAUUGUAUUAAUUGCACGGCCUUGGAUCGGAACAGGUUUAUAUCUUUGUAGCACUGUAUAACAUAUGAUUGGCGCCGCGUGACGCGCGCGUUUCUUCGACGUUUAAAAUAUGUAGUUUAUUGUAUUUAUGUCGUAAGCACUGCAUUGGAUUGCAACAGUUCUUAUUCUUUUGCCUGGAAUACGGAUCAUAUUAUUUAUUGUCUGUUGAUAAUGGAUUACGAUGUAUUCAACGAUAGAUACGUGCGUAAUAACCUAUUGCAGGACCGACAUCCACAGACUGCAGGUUGUACAGUACUUCAGAGUGAAAUAGGCGAGGGCCUGUGUGUCAAGGAAUGUUCAGCAUCUUACGAUGGUUUCACGGUUU
This is a long non-coding RNA of Amphibalanus amphitrite, 1706 nucleotides long. RefSeq lists it as uncharacterized. The transcript is spliced from 2 exons. Lineage: Eukaryota; Metazoa; Arthropoda; Thecostraca; Balanomorpha; Balanidae. The record is from RefSeq and is a predicted model, not a curated record.